This 541-nucleotide ribosomal RNA is filed under the name uncultured fungus. Its description in RNAcentral is "eukaryotic LSU rRNA". The stretch from base 194 to 347 matches the Rfam family "5.8S ribosomal RNA". The record is from RNAcentral. Lineage: Eukaryota; Fungi.
GUAAAAGUCGUAACAAGGUUUCCGUAGGUGAACCUGCGGAAGGAUCAUUACCUAGAGUUUGUAGACUUCGGUCUGCUACCUCUUACCCAUGUCUUUUGAGUACCUUCGUUUCCUCGGCGGGUCCGCCCGCCGAUUGGACAACAUUCAAACCCUUUGCAGUUGCAAUCGGCGUCUGAAAAAACAUAAUAGUUACAACUUUCAACAACGGAUCUCUUGGUUCUGGCAUCGAUGAAGAACGCAGCGAAAUGCGAUAAGUAGUGUGAAUUGCAGAAUUCAGUGAAUCAUCGAAUCUUUGAACGCACAUUGCGCCCCUUGGUAUUCCAUGGGGCAUGCCUGUUCGAGCGUCAUUUGUACCUUCAAGCUCUGCUUGGUGUUGGGUGUUUGUCUCGCCUCUGCGUGUAGACUCGCCUUAAAACAAUUGGCAGCCGGCGUAUUGAUUUCGGAGCGCAGUACAUCUCGCGCUUUGCACUCAUAACGACGACGUCCAAAAGUACAUUUUUACACUCUUGACCUCGGAUCAGGUAGGGAUACCCGCNNAACU